This 406-nucleotide ribosomal RNA is filed under the name uncultured bacterium. RNAcentral describes it as "partial 16S ribosomal RNA". It matches the Rfam family "Bacterial small subunit ribosomal RNA", at positions 30 to 526 of the family's 1533-position model. The record is from RNAcentral.
AUUGAACGCUGGCGGCAGGCUUAACACAUGCAAGUCGAGCGAGCGGCGGACGGGUGAGUAAUGGCUGGGAAACUGCCUGAUGGAGGGGGAUAACUACUGGAACAGGUAGCUAAUACCGCAUACCAUCAGAUGUGCCCAGAUGGGAUUAGCUAGUAGGUGGGGUAAUGGCUCACCUAGGCGCAGAUCCCUAGCUGGUCUGAGAGGAUGACCAGCCACACUGGAAGUGAGACACGGUCCGGACUCCUACGGGAGGCAGCAGUGGGGAAUAUUGCACAAUGGGCGCAAGCCGGAUGCAGCCAUGCCGCGUGUUUGAAGAAGGCCUUCGGGUUGUAAAGCACGUUCAGCGAGGAGGCGUUACUCGCAGAAGAAGCACCGGCUAACUCCGUGCCAGCAGCCGCGGUAAUUC